GCUGGCGGCAUGCCUUACACAUGCAAGUCGAACGGCAGCACGGGUGCUUGCACCUGGUGGCGAGUGGCGAACGGGUGAGUAAUACAUCGGAACAUGUCCUGUAGUGGGGGAUAGCCCGGCGAAAGCCGGAUUAAUACCGCAUACGAUCUACGGAUGAAAGCGGGGGACCUUCGGGCCUCGCGCUAUAGGGUUGGCCGAUGGCUGAUUAGCUAGUUGGUGGGGUAAAGGCCUACCAAGGCGACGAUCAGUAGCUGGUCUGAGAGGACGACCAGCCACACUGGGACUGAGACACGGCCCAGACUCCUACGGGAGGCAGCAGUGGGGAAUUUUGGACAAUGGGCGAAAGCCUGAUCCAGCAAUGCCGCGUGUGUGAAGAAGGCCUUCGGGUUGUAAAGCACUUUUGUCCGGAAAGAAAUCCUUGGUUCUAAUAUAGCCGGGGGAUGACGGUACCGGAAGAAUAAGCACCGGCUAACUACGUGCCAGCAGCCGCGGUAAUACGUAGGGUGCGAGCGUUAAUCGGAAUUACUGGGCGUAAAGCGUGCGCAGGCGGUUUGCUAAGACCGAUGUGAAAUCCCCGGGCUCAACCUGGGAACUGCAUUGGUGACUGGCAGGCUAGAGUAUGGCAGAGGGGGGUAGAAUUCCACGUGUAGCAGUGAAAUGCGUAGAGAUGUGGAGGAAUACCGAUGGCGAAGGCAGCCCCCUGGGCCAAUACUGACGC
RNAcentral lists this ribosomal RNA (718 nucleotides) under uncultured beta proteobacterium. RNAcentral's name for it is "bacterial SSU rRNA". It matches the Rfam family "Bacterial small subunit ribosomal RNA", at positions 35 to 746 of the family's 1533-position model. Lineage: Bacteria; Pseudomonadati; Pseudomonadota; Betaproteobacteria. The record is from RNAcentral.